GUAAUUCCAUUUUAGGAGCGCGCUUCCUGAAAAAUGAAAAAAUUCAGGAGCCCGCUAUUCUGCAUUUUCCAAUUUCAUUAUCCCACUGCAACCUCUCACAAUACCUACUCUCGUAAAAUUUCUCUCAGCUCUUGCAAAUUCUCUCUAGUGCGACUUCAUCUCCUUCCGAUUUGUUGAUUUCUCUGUUCCUGCAGAUCUCUUCACCUUCUUGCGAUUACCCCUCUUUCAAUUUUCUAGGGAAGAAAUUGUUAUUCCUCGAUUCCACUCAGAUUCAGUUCACUUCUUUACCUGUUUUAGCUACUGAAUCAGAAACUUGACGAGGAAGGAUUUUACACGAGUUCAUUGCCUUUUCAGUUUCAGAAGCAAAACCACCUAGUGUCGUUAGAAGCACGAAUACUGACGCGUUGGAGAGGUUUGGUAUUCGUGAAGAACAAAAGUUUCAAUUCCUUGGAAAACAAAGAAGACUGGUCAAGAAAGGAAUGUGUAGCUGUACCAUUACCAAACAAUAGUGUUUCGAGGAUCGACAUGCCUUUGAACUUCAGUGUGCCCCUGAAAUCUCUCACAUUUCCACAUCCGAAUGAGUUCUCAGCUCCAACAUCUGCCUGUGAACCUCCUGGUCCUCCCCGUAUAUAUUUCUUUUCCCUGUUAGAUGGCAUGACUUGGAUUCAAAUGUCAAUACAUGUCUUUUUUCUGAAAUGCAUGUUGACUGUACCUCUUACAGCUUACUGUCCCAAAUGUGAGCAGCCCCUUUCAACUUCUUUGAUGCAUUCUAAGUAACUACCUGGGCAGCAUUGUUCUCAUAAGUUAGCACAGAACUUCUGGUUCGCACUCACUGAAGUACAUAGCAAGCUAUCUUAACUUUUCUUCUUCUCUUCAAAAAUUAAAUCUGCAGGUUUAUUGUGUACUUAUUAGUUCAAUCUUGUUGGUAUAUUUAUCUAUUGUUAUGACUUGUCAUAAACUGUUGGUUAUUUUAUUGUCCAAGAAAUUUUCUAUUGUCGGCAUGGAGUAAGGUCUUUGCAGUGGUUGCGAGGUGUUGUCUUGCUAGCAGGUGCAUACACGCGAGUGAUGGUUGUAUUCUUGUAAUUUGCUAUAAUUGCGGUUAUUGCAUCAGGUUGGGCAAAAGAGUGAAUGUUUGUGUAUUUAUGUGUUCUAUACUUCUAUGUGUAAAUGAUACUCUGUAAUGACUAUCACUUCAGGUCUGUGAGUUUGCCACCUUGUGAAGCCACGUGGGAGGAAGCCUCUGGAGGUUUAUAGCAAACUCCACAGAAAGGAGCAAGCACAAGCACCUACAGUAGGCACAAAGUAUAGCUGAAUGGGUGAAGAGUUACCGUUAUCCACUAGAGGACAAGAAGAGAAGCAGAUGGCAAUUAAUCAAAUUCUACUUAGUAGAAUAACCUAGUGCAUAAAUAGCAGAGAAAAAGAAAGAGAAAGGCAUUGUGGAAUUUGUAUUGUCUUUGGAUAUUAGAAACCUAAAGUUACUUGUUUGGGAAUUAUAGCCUCAAGCUAUCUGUUUGUACUGUACUUACCUUUGGAUAUUUGACGAAUUAAAGCUACAACAUUUCUCUAUCUUUAUGUAGUGUUUUGUAUUUGUGUUG
Long non-coding RNA from Spinacia oleracea (spinach), 1595 nucleotides. RefSeq lists it as uncharacterized. NCBI's taxonomy places the organism in Eukaryota, Viridiplantae, Streptophyta, Magnoliopsida, Caryophyllales, Amaranthaceae. The record is from RefSeq and is a predicted model, not a curated record. The transcript has 4 exons.